AAAUACUUGAAGAGUGGGAGAAAAACUAAGAAAACGAUGUAGUUUUCCAAAAAUCAAUCAAUUUCUCGAAACCCAUAAGAAGCCCAUACAGGCAUACAAUGCAAGCAUACAACCCUGAGAGAAAGCAGAGCCCUGUCUCGAAUCCAACAAAACCACAUUCAAAAGAGGGUUUGGUUUCUACAGAUCUUUGUCCUUCCUCUCUCUGUCUCCCGCUCUCGCUAAAACAUGGCAGCAAUGUCUACGAGGAAAUUCCUCACGCUAAACCCACUAUCCAGCUCUCCUUUGAAACAAUCACUCCUUUUCUUAUCUUCUCUCAACUACUCUACCAAGUCUUCUGCUUUUGGUGCCAGAAACAAAAACACAGCAACAGAAAAGCUAAGUGACAUCGAUGACAACGCUGAAAACGAUUCUGUACCCACUUCAGGAAUAAGUAGGCCACUCUCUGAAAUACUCAAAGAACUCAACAAAAAGGUCCCUGAAACUCUUGUUAGUCAGCGUGUUGAUAAUGGGUUUUCGAUCAAAUAUGUCCCUUGGCAUAUUGUUAACAGGAUUAUGAAUUUACAUGCUCCAGAAUGGUCUGGUGAGGUUCGGAGCAUCACUUAUUCACCUGAUAGCAAGUCUGUAUCUGUUGUUUACCGUGUCACUCUCUAUGGGACUGAUGCUGAGUUGUGUCUUAAUCGAACUCUGAUGCCUAAACCAGAGGAAGUAGUUGUGAAAGGCAUAUAAGGCUAAUAAAAUUGAGAGCAAGAAGAUGUGCAUUCCUGAGCAGACUGGUUGAUACUUUUUACUUGAGGUGAUCUUAUUUCAUAUUUUUUGCUUGAGAGGUAAGGGGGGACCUUUUCAACUACGGUAGGCAAAAUGUGUCAUUAAGAAAAUAAAGUCUUGAGUGUUCAGGACUCCAUUGACGCUGCAUUUCUCUGAUGAAAGAGUAGACAACACAGCUAAUAGGACAGCUCAUGACAUGGGAGAUUUCUCUUAUUGAUCUUCUUAGUUCUUCAGUUUGAUGUUUUUCAAAAGUGGCUUGUUCUUAACAGAGCCUAACGGUGUGGCGAAAGAGUAAAAAAUAAGGAACAACAUUAGAAAUUUUGGGGUCUAAAACUGUCUGAGAUAUACUUUUCCAGUUAAGCUAUACAGGGAGUCGACCGGAACUGCUGCUUUGGAUGAGAUAGGUUUUGGAGAUCCUGUGCAAAAGGCAGAAGCAAUGGCAUUUCG
This is an RNA transcript of Populus euphratica (Euphrates poplar), 1212 nucleotides long. It is a transcript of the gene named cobalt ion binding protein, with no coding region annotated. NCBI's taxonomy places the organism in Eukaryota, Viridiplantae, Streptophyta, Magnoliopsida, Malpighiales, Salicaceae. The transcript has 5 exons. The record is from RefSeq and is a predicted model, not a curated record.